GGCAGAGGGAGAACGGAAUUUCAUAGCAAAAGACUAAGAAGAAAGAUUACAUAAAUAGCACCACAGGAAAUACAUCAACACAAACUGGCUAGAAAUUUCUCUCCUAAAUUUUCCAUUACAAGGAACUUGACAAGAGCACAAAUGGCUUCCAGAUUUUUAUCAUUUUCAUUCAAGAUUGGUGUGUCGAGAUCGGAUGGUCUCUGAGCUCUGUCCCAAAACUUCACCCAAUUUGUAAAUCACCAUCUCAAACAAUACAAACAAAGCUCCCUCAUAAACGCUUCCCAUCGGCAACAGCGGCCGAGAUGUCGCCUCUUCAUCAUUUGCCAUGGUCAGUGCUGGCACGUAGCAAACCACGCUCGCAUGCUUCACACAAGACCCGCUUUCAGGUUGAGCAGUCAGCAGUAACACUUUGGCACCAUUCGAUCUUGCCAGCGAACACAAGGCAUCGACGGUGGAGAAUCCCCCAGGUCCCGCAGAGGCGAUGAAGAGAUCGUUGGAGGCGAUUGGAGGAGUGGUCAUGUCGAAUACAAAGUGGGUGGAGAGACCAAGGUGGGCGAGCCGCAUGCAUAGGGCCUUAAGCAUCAGACCCUCCCUUCCCACUCCAUAGAGGAAAACACGGCCGUUCCGGGCGGCGGUGGCGGAGAGAUUAGUGACCAUCAGUUCUAGAGGAGGUGGAUGGGGAUCAGUGGGUUUGGAGAAAAUGGAGGCUAUGUGAUUGCAUAUCUGUGAGGCUAGAGAGAACAUUGAGGGAGCUUCCGCUGCCAUCGGCGUUGGAGGGGCUUCAAUCUUUUUUUUAACGGACUGGAUAAUCAUUGCA
RNAcentral lists this unclassified non-coding RNA (817 nucleotides) under Hevea brasiliensis (rubber tree). Lineage: Eukaryota; Viridiplantae; Streptophyta; Magnoliopsida; Malpighiales; Euphorbiaceae. The record is from RNAcentral.